CUCGGUUUUUGACAAACAAAUGCAGUGGGAUGCCUGCUCGGCCGACUGCCGCCCGGCCCCGAGCCCUGGGCUCACUCCUCAGCCUGCUGCCGAGUUUCGCUCCGCAGUCCUGCGCGGCAUACGCCGAGCUUCGCCCCCUUGCCCAGGUCUGCAGAUGGAUGGAUGCUGGGCAGGCUUCCUUCCCCUGGUCGGGUUAACGCCGGCUUAGGAUAAAGCCCCAAAGCUCCCACGUUGGGCCUCCUGUUUAUCAGCCCGCCCCACCACCACUACCAAAGGACGUGCCCCUUUGGUAGUGUCGGGGCUCCCAGCCCAAGCGAGGGGGAGGACACCUCCCUAUCCCCUCCUCCCCAUCCGCGCGGCGGCUCGGGGUUUUACUGCAGCAGCCGGAGGUGACAGCGACGCCUUAGCCUCCUCCGUUGCUCUCAGAGCCCCGGCUUCCCCUGCAUCCGGAAAGCGCCCCCUCCAGAGAGGCUGGUCCCCGGAGAAGUGCUAACGAGCUGCAGAAAACCAAAUUUAAAAAUGUAGAAGUCGCUGGGCUGCAUUCCUCCGAGGACGAGCCUGAUCGCCCAGGACUGAGAGUGGCAGCGUGUGGGAAGUUGGGACCGUAGAGCAAGGGGGGAGGGGAGUGGUGCAGCCGGCAUUCUCUUCUGGAAGGAAUCGCUGGGAGCAGUGCUGUUGGACACAAGUUUGCGUGGGAGUGUUUUCCUUUUGUCAAUAAUUAAUCACCGGAAUCAGCCUGGCAGAAUUGGAGUUUUAGCAAUAGUGCAGAGGGCGGGGCCGAACACCUAACUCCAGGACGCUCCGAACCACCCGGCGCAGUGGGAAGCUGGCAGCAGCUGGGGAGGAGCCAAAGCCUGGGUGCUCACCUAAGCCGCAGGGAGAUACACCCAACCGGGAGAUGAAGAAACAGCAACCCAGAGAAGAGAAGUAACCCACACAGGAUCAUUCCACAGAGGCACAAGGGCAAGAACCCAAUCUGGACCCUCCCUGGCAGGCAGAUGUCCUUAAUUCACAAAUCCCUCUGGAAUCUGUCAGCAAAUGCCAAACAACAAGGAUUACUUUGAAAUUACAGUUACUCAAUACAUGCCAUGCUGCCCAGUGGUCUCAGUUGAGAGUUGGACUGGAAACACAUGUUUUCUAUUGUUCUGCUUUUAUUUAGUGUCAGUUAAAUUUGGAGGUAAUAAAGUUGGUCCAGAUAGCCACAAAAACACUCUGCUUUUGUGUAUGAUUCAAACCAACACUGUACCAACAACAACUUGGCUAAACUGUUAGUGAGACUUUUUCCUUUUAGUACUAUUUCAGUAACUCACUUCUAAGUACGAGAGUAGAAAACUUAGAGUAACUUUUGCCCAAAGCGGUAACAUCCUUUGACUUAUAAUUGUUUGUUUCUUCCUCUCUGAGGAAUCUAGAGAAUUGUCCAAAUCCAUCACUUCUGGUCUGACUUCCAAUAUUAACCCUGGUAUCAGCAUAAAGAAUUGGUUGCCAAAGGACGGCUGGAGCGUAUUCUAAGAUGGAAGGGAAAUUCACAUGAAAAUGUUAAGCAAGGAUGGAACUUUCUAUGAGGCACAGAAAACAUUGGCGUCAUCCACAGAAAACUUAGAGCAAGAUAUCUGGAAAAGUGGGAAGCCAAUAAACUGCUAUUAUGCCUGAUUCUUACAUAGACAUGAUAGGAGGUUUUGCCAUUAAUCAUAGGAACUCUGUGUCUUUGUGAAUCAAAUCAUGUUCAUAUAAAGAAGCAGCUUUUGAUUAGGUCCCCAAGACAAAAACUAUUACUUAAGGUUGGGCAGGGCACAGCCCACACAGUGGUAUGUGGUAACCCUGCCCAAGAUAUUUGAAAAUGUGCUUGGAGAUUGUGGUGCCUUUCAAGUAGUGGUUUGUGGUCAUCGCUAUAUAUGUGUGUUGUUGUAUUUUUUAUUUUUUCAAAAACAUUACUAGGCAAUCCAACUAGCAAACACAAAUAAGGGCUGAGGUUUUCUUUUCCCCAUAAAAUAUACAAAGCACUCCGUUAUAGAUAACCGUUAUUUCACAAAGACUCUUUGACUUUAUAACUUAAGAAAAUCUUGCAAAUAGUUUAAAGCGGUACCAAUUCAUAAGAAACAACAACAAAUACUACUAUGACUAUGACUUCUAAAGAGCUCACAACCCAUCCCUACAUUCUUUACAUCAGUGAGACAGACUUAGAGACAAUUAUGAAUUAUCUUUAUUUUACACAGAGAAGCUGUGACCCAGAAGAUUUUGGAACUUGUUCAAGGACACAAAGUAAAAUGAAUGAAUUAAUGAAUGAAUGAUGACAAAACAGUAAAGCUGAAACAGAAUUCAGGUCUUCAGAUGUUCUCUCAUCCUGUGAUUUUUUUCUAUUAGAACAAUUUUUCUACCUACCAAUCUUAAAUUAUUACUCACCUAGAGUAAGCACUUGUAAAAGCCAUUUUAAUGGGCUUUAAAACCACUUCACAAGUAGUUUUUUGUUCCCCACAGAGUCUGUGAACUUUUAACAGUAUGAGAAGGAAAGAAAAAAAAGCAUUUGUUACACUGAAAAAAAUUUAGUACCAGCUUCUUCUUUCCUUCCUACAAAAAGACAGAUUGUACUGAAUUUAUAAAAAACAAUCUGCCUAAACCUCAUUGCCUGAAAGUAGACAAUGAGAAUUCAUAACUACCUUUUAUGUACCCCACAUUGUGCUGUGGAAAUAUUAAAUAAGUACAGGUGUGAUCCCUUCCCUCACCCCACUUACAAUCCAGUCAGCCAUCCAUCCAGCCAUCCAGCUCAUGAGCCAGCAUACAAGUAUCCCUCAUUGCAGACAGCGGAGAUAAAGAGCUGACUGGGGCAUAUUCACAGUUCUCAAAGACCUCGUAGUCUAGGGGAGAAACAGACUGUACAUGGCUAAUUAUAAUAUGGUGUAAGUGCUAAAACACUGCUCUAGUAGUAACACAUAAAAGAAAGCAAUAUAUUUCCCUUGGGAAGGGUAGUCUCUUGGGAAUGUUUCAUAGAAGGGAGAAUAUAGGAGCUAGGAUUAUGAAAGUAAUCAGGAUUAUGUCUAGAAGAGAAAGGGCACAAGAGCAUUUCCAGAAAAAAAAAAAAGAUGAACAAAAGCAUAGAAGCUUAAGAGUAAAUGGAAUUUAGCAGGAGAGUUCAGAGAUGCUACUGGAGAGGUAGAGAAAUCAAACUCUGAAGGGCCUCAGAGGAAUGUUUCAUAUCAUAGGAAAUGGAGAGCCACUGAAGGGUUUCAAGCAGAGAAAUUAAUCUGUGAUUUUAGAAAGUUAAUUCCAGCAGCAGGAUGGAAGAUUUUAAGGUGAAAAGGAGAUAAGUUGGUAGGCUAUUUCAUUAGUUCAAGCAAGAGAUGGAGAGAAUCCAUAGCACUGCCCAAUAAAAUUUGCUGCAAUGAUGAAAAUGUUCUACAUCCAUGCUGUCCCAUAUGGUAGCCAUGAGCCACAUGUGGCUACAGAGCACUAAACAUUUAAAUUGCCACAUGUGACUAGUAGCUGCCAUAUUGGACAGUGCAGAGGCAUCUUAGAGAAGCUGGCACUUGAGUUAAGCCUUAAAGGAGGAUUUUUCCAAUUGGUGUAGCUCACAAUUGGGAUAUUUUUCAAUCACCAAAGAGAAUAACAUAGAAUACACUAGAGCUAAUCAAAGAGAAUAGAAUAAAAAAAAAAGCAUGCACUGCAGAGUAAUAUUGUUGAGAGAUGUUUGUUUCGGUUAUGUAGCUGGGUUUGUGUGUGUGUGUGUGUGUGUGUGUGUGUGUGUGUGUGUACCCUGGAUCACAAUGUAAAUGUACUUUCCCUCUCCAUUCUGCUUAAAAAUGUUUGAAAGCCAUUCCUUUAUGAAAGGGUAUGAUUUAACUAUGUUCAGAGUUAUUAGGAAAACGUUUCCAGAAACGCAGAGUUUAAGUUCAUUGGAGUUUAGAAUAGGGAAUAGGGAUAACUCUGGACCUUUCAAGACUUUCUUAAUUACUAUUUUGCCUUCCAAAAAUUAAUAGACUUUAUUAUUUAGAACAGCUUUAGACUUACAGAAAAGUUGAGAAGAUAGUACAGAGUCUCCACAUGCCCUGUACCCAGUUUCCCCUACUAAUAUCUUACAUUAGUAUGACACAUGUGUUACAAUUAAUGAGCCAAUGUUGAUAUGCUAUUCAGUAAAGCUAGUAUGUUACUCGUAUUUCCUUGGCUUUUACCUAGUAUCCUUUUUUCCUUUCCAGGAUUCCACCCGGAAUAACACGUUGCAUCUAGUUGUUGUGUUUCCAUAGGCUGCUUUGAGCUAUGACAGUUUUUCACACUUAGCUUGUUUCUGAUGACCUUGAGAGUUUAAGGGGUACAUAUUCUACAGCAUGCUACUCUGUUGGAAUUUUGUCUGGUGUUUUUUCUCAUGAUUAGACUGAGGUUGUCAGUUAUUUGGGAUAAAAACACAGAGGUAAAGUGCCAUUUUCAUGCCAUGAUAUCAUAGAUACCUACCAUUAACAUCAUUUAUCACUAUUGAUGUUGGCCUUGAUCCACUGGCUGAGGUAGUGCUUAAUCAGUCUUCUCCACUGUAAAUUUACUUUUUUAUCUCCCUUUUCAAAUAGUACUCUUUGGAAGGAAAUCACUCUGCUCCUUUUAAAAAUGAAUUACUUAAUUAAAGGGAGGCUUGAACUUGGAGUAAAUCAUAUUGAGUUCCUUCCAAAAGGAAACCUACUUCUGAGAACAGACACAGUCUCUUUUUAGAUUCAGUGUCUCUUUCUGUAGCAGGCAGAAUAAUUUUUUCACAUCUCAGAUUUUCAGGUUCCUAAUAUGAAGCACACACACAAAAGCUGAGUGACUGACAUAGAGUUCCAAAGUAAGUCAGAAAGGAAUUAACCCAAAAUCAAUUGCAAAUCCUUCUGACUUUUCUCCUCAGCCCCAGAUUCUGAUGUUUUAGAAGUAAAUUUAACCCAAAAUGUGUUGGAGGGUGCUUUUUUUAAUCCCCCAAGAGAGAAGAUUCAUUUUUAGCUAAUGUUUAGAAAGGAAGAUCUCAUACUGAGAAAAUCCAGGUAUUUGGAGUACCUUCUUUAGGUGCAGGAUCACGUGUUCUGUGAUAUUAGCAAGGUAAAUUCCACCCUGCCAAACCACCUGCUACUUACCUCUCACUGCAGUUGCCUAACUUUCGGCCACUCCUAUUCCCAUGGACAGAAAACAACACAGAACUUCUGAGCAAGCCCCACCUCCACAUUUGUUACAUCCCUGCACGUUCCCUUUACAGUAUUCUCAUUUCAUGACUCAAACAUGGGUUCAUGGGAACACAUGUUGUUGUUUGUUUUUCAUUGUUGAUGUUGCUCUAUUUAUCCUUUCUUGUCCAUUCAGGCCGGAACAAAGUCCUGCUCCUGAGUAAUGUGUGUCAUAAGUCCCAGGUCCUCCCUGUUCAUUCUGGGAAAAGAGGUGAAACUUUAUCUCCUUCCUCACUGGACACAACUCUAGUGAGAGAAAAAAAUCAUCAUCUGUUGAUAAAAAAAGGGCAGUGACAUUCAGAAAUAAAAUAUAGUCACUUACUCUCCAAUCAAUUGUAGGAUAACUUCUUAGGGGACUUCCAAGCCCUUACUGUUUUCCACUGCCCCAGUGUCCCUGUUCAUUUGCUGGAUUCUCUGUAGGAUUCAGUCUCUUCCUGUGGUUCCCAGGACUCUAAUAAUCCUUCUCCCUCUUCCUCCCCUGAACUUGGUAAAACUCUGCUUUGGGUCUUUUAACCAUACUAAGAUGUACAUCACUAACAAGAACCUUAAUUUUUGCCAGUUCCAGGUAACAUUUGCAUUAAAUAGGCAUCAGGAUCCACAUUUGGUUAGAGGAGCAUAUGAACUGUGGGAUUCAGGAAAGAGUCCUGAGUAAGGCAAGAAGAGUAGAGACUGGGGAAACAGGGUAGGGCUGAAGUCUUCCAGAUACCCUACAUACCUGGCUCCAUUGUCCUUGCUCAAGACUGAGUCUUCUAAGACCACAGAAAACCUUCACUGGACUUUUCACUUCUUUCAUCCAAUGUUAAUUCCCAAAACACAGGGUGUUCCCUGCCUGGUCCAGUCACUUCCAUUCAGUUUGACAAACCAAUUUAAAUGUCAACAAAUUCAAUAUCAAUUUGGUGUUAGCCCCAUAGACUUGGCCCUUUUCUUUAAACUGAGUGAUUUGGUCUAGGGGAUCUCAGUUCCAUUAACAUUCUAGAUUUCAUUUUAACAUUCUAGAUUUCACUUUAGCUGCCCAACACAUGUGGCAAAUAUUGUCCAUAAUGUAUAUGGGUGGAAUAUACUCAACUGAAUUAGAAUCCUCAAGGGUGCCUGGGUGGCUCAGUUUGUUGAGCCUCCGACUUUGGCUCAGGUCACGAUCUCACAGUUUGUGGGUUUGAGCCCCACGUCAGGCUCUGUGCUGACUGCUUGCUCAGAGCCUGGA
RNA transcript from Prionailurus viverrinus (fishing cat), 6369 nucleotides. It is a transcript of the gene named serine palmitoyltransferase small subunit B, with no coding region annotated. The record is from RefSeq and is a predicted model, not a curated record. The transcript is spliced from 3 exons. NCBI's taxonomy places the organism in Eukaryota, Metazoa, Chordata, Mammalia, Carnivora, Felidae.